AGCCCGAGGAUCUUCGCGGCGAGAGAGGGUUUCACUGGUGCGACAGGUCUGGAGCAAGGGAUCUCGGUUUCGUUUCGCUGGAGCCCCGAAGCUACGCAUGCGCACAAGAAUCCUGUCCCUGGGACGCCAGUUAUCUCCUGGAGGCACCUGAUGUUCUUUUAAAAACCUAGGGAAAGAGCGAAGACCUUCGUCACAUGCCAAGCAGAACUUGACUCUGACGCACUGCAGAAUAUAGUGCAUUCAUUGGGAGUCUAGCCUGACUUUCUUUUGCGUUAUCUUGAAUUUGGUCAUUUCGACUCAAUAAAGUAGACGUGAAUAACUAGGUAUACCUGAGUCUGGGGGUGGGAAUGGGCUACGGACCGGUUUGGUGUGAUGGAAAUACCCCUAAACUGGACUGUGGGGGUGGCUGCAUUAUUUACUAUUUUUUGUACAGCUGAAAGGGUGAGUGUAUACAAUAGACCUUAUUCUGUGAUGAUGUGAGCGCCUGUAUUGGAAUGGCUCCACUUCAGGCUGAGUAAAAGACCAAGAUGAAGCCUGCCUUCCC
RNAcentral lists this long non-coding RNA (544 nucleotides) under Mus musculus (house mouse). Its description in RNAcentral is "lincRNA-EC49". Lineage: Eukaryota; Metazoa; Chordata; Mammalia; Rodentia; Muridae. The record is from RNAcentral.